RNAcentral lists this ribosomal RNA (490 nucleotides) under uncultured bacterium. RNAcentral's name for it is "partial 16S ribosomal RNA". It matches the Rfam family "Bacterial small subunit ribosomal RNA", at positions 28 to 507 of the family's 1533-position model. The record is from RNAcentral.
GAUGAACGCUAGCUACAGGCUUAACACAUGCAAGUCGCGGGGCAGCAUGGGGGUUGCUUGCAAUCCCUGAUGGCGACCGGCGCACGGGUGAGUAACGCGUAUCCAACCUGCCCUUCACCACGGGAUAACCCGGCGAAAGUCGGACUAAUACCGUAUGUUGUCCAUUGACGGCAUCCGAUUUGGACGAAAGGCUUAGCGGUGAGGGAUGGGGAUGCGUCCGAUUAGCUUGACGGCGGGGUCACGGCCCACCGUGGCAACGAGAGGUAGGGGUUCUGAGAGGACGACAGCCAACACGUGUACUGCGACACGGACCUGCCGCCGACGGGAGGUAGCAGUGGGGGAGAGUGGGCAACGGGAGCGAGCCGGAAACAGACAAGUCGCGUGAAGGAUGAUUGUCGUAGGGAUUGUACAUUGCUGUGAUACGGGAAGAAGAAGAGGUACGUGGGACUCCCGGCAGGUACCGGAUGAAUAAGCAGCGGCGAAUUCCGUG